This 77-nucleotide transfer RNA is filed under the name Rickettsiales bacterium. RNAcentral's name for it is "tRNA-Ile". It matches the Rfam family "tRNA". From Rfam's summary of the family: Transfer RNA (tRNA) molecules are approximately 80 nucleotides in length. Their secondary structure includes four short double-helical elements and three loops (D, anti-codon, and T loops). Lineage: Bacteria; Pseudomonadati; Pseudomonadota; Alphaproteobacteria; Rickettsiales. The record is from RNAcentral.
GGGUUUGUAGCUCAGUUGGUUAGAGCGUUGCUCUGAUAAAGCAGAGGUCGGCGGUUCAAGUCCGCCCAGACCCACCA